UCUUUCUCUUUCUUAAGCUUAAGCUCUGCACCACAACCUCCGUCAACUUGAACUCCAAGUACGUGGUUUAUGUGAGAUCCAAAAGUUUUUUUCUUUUUUUUUUUUUCGUUAUAAUUUUCGAUCAUAGUCAGCUUCUUCAAUUCCCCAAUUGCAGAGAUUCUUAUUCUGCUUUGAAAUCCGAAGCACUUCCCAUUUUUUUAUGUCUCUAUUUAUUCGUUUCCUUUAGCAGCUUUUGUAAUUAUCGCCGCAAUAGAUCCUACAAGAUUUGUUUUUUAAGUUGAUUUUUACUUCAACGGAACUUGAUCUAUAACUUUGGCGUUUUCAGCUGCAUUUUGAGACUUCCGCCAUUUUUUUUAGUUUUCUCUCAUCUAUUUUUCAAUUCCAACACAAUGUUAUUCUAGUACAUGUUCUUGUUUUUCCAAUCUCAGUUGCUGUGUUCGCCGCUGAACUUUGUUGGGUCUGUUUUGUUGGUGAGAUUGAAUUAAAAUUUUUCUCUUCUACUCUUGCUCUUUCUCGUGGUGGAAUUGGUUUGUAUUUUGAACACCCCCGUGAUCUGGGGUGUUCUAGUGCGUUUAUCCGUUUUCUUGAGUUUGGGUGGAUUCAAUUGGUUUGUAUGCUAAGUUGCAACCAUGUUUCCUGAUCAAAGAAAAAAGUCAUCUGUGGAUGUGGACUUCUUUACUGAAUAUGGUGAAGGAAGCAGGUAUAAAAUAGAGGAAGUAAUUGGUAAAGGAAGCUAUGGUGUUGUUUGCUCUGCAUAUGAUACACAUACUGGAGAAAAGGUUGCAAUAAAGAAAAUCAAUGACAUAUUUGAACAUGUUUCUGAUGCCACUCGCAUUCUUCGUGAGAUAAAGCUUCUUAGACUUUUACGUCAUCCAGAUAUUGUGGAGAUCAAGCAUAUUUUGUUACCUCCUUCUAGAAGGGAAUUCAAAGAUAUAUAUGUUGUUUUUGAGCUCAUGGAAUCUGAUUUACAUCAGGUCAUCAAAGCAAAUGAUGAUUUGACGCCAGAGCAUUACCAAUUUUUCCUCUACCAGCUUCUUCGAGGCUUGAAGUAUAUACACACAGCAAAUGUUUUUCACCGUGAUCUAAAACCAAAAAACAUUUUAGCAAAUGCUGACUGCAAACUGAAGAUUUGCGACUUUGGUCUUGCCAGAGUGGCUUUUAAUGAUACACCCACUGCUAUAUUCUGGACUGAUUAUGUUGCAACACGGUGGUAUAGGGCUCCUGAGUUGUGUGGAUCCUUUUUUUCCAAGUAUACACCAGCUAUAGACAUAUGGAGUAUUGGCUGCAUUUUUGCUGAACUUUUGACUGGAAAACCCCUUUUCCCUGGGAAGAAUGUUGUCCAUCAACUGGACCUCAUGACUGAUCUUCUGGGAACACCAUCUCCUGAAUCUGUUGCUAGGGUACGAAAUGAAAAAGCUCGGAGAUACUUAAGCAGUAUGCGUAAGAAGAAGCCAGUUCCUUUCUCACAGAAAUUUCCUAAUGCAGAUCCCCUUGCUCUACGUUUGUUAGAAAGAAUGUUGGCAUUUGAGCCUAAGGAUCGGCCUACUGCUGAAGAGGCUCUAGCGGAUCCAUAUUUUAAAGGCUUGGCCAAGGUUGAGAGGGAACCUUCCGCUCAGCCAGUUACCAAGAUGGAGUUUGAAUUUGAGAGACGCAGAAUAACGAAGGAAGACGUAAGAGAGCUUAUAUACCGAGAGAUUCUGGAGUACCAUCCAAAAAUGUUAAAGGAAUUUCUAGAGGGAGCUGAGCCAACAGGUUUCAUGUAUCCAAGUGCUGUGGACCACUUCAAGAAGCAAUUUGCAUAUCUAGAGGAGCAUUAUGGCAAAGGGGGUACUGUUGCUCCACCUGAGAGGCAACAUGCAUCAUUACCUAGAUAACUCAGUACAGAGCACAGCUGAGGUUGCAGAUGAUUUAUCCAAAUGUUGUCUCAAAGAAGUUGAGAAACCACCCAUAGAUAGGAGUAGUGCCAUCCCUAUGACACGGCUUCCCUUACAAGCUCCUCAAAAUAUUCAAGGCGUUGCUGCAAGGCCCGGAAAAGUUGUUGGUUCAGUAAUGCGUUACAACAAUUGCGGGGUGGCAGUGACGGCAGAGUCUGAACAGCGGAGAGUGGUUAGGAACCCAUCAGCUUCAGCUCAGUAUGCUGCUUCAAGCUGUUCAUAUCCUCGGAGAAAUCAGAACUAUAAAAAUGAAAGGGCAGAGGAUGAUGGGAUUGAAGGUUCUAAUGGGCUGCAGCCAAAGCCUCAAUACAUGGCAAGAAAAGUUGCUGCUGCUCAAGGUGGAGCUGGUGGUCAAUGGUAUUGAUAUUGAAUUAUAUCGAAUAUAUGUGGGGCCAACAACUGCCUUGUGUUGUGCCCUGAAGCCCUGAUGCCUGAGUUUCUUGAUCACACAUUUGAAGUAUUAAACAAUGGGAGAGCUUAAGAGACUCAUCAAGUCUAUUCCUGAAGUCCCUAUGCUAUGGACGAUUUUUUAAUUGUCCCAAUUUGCAUCAUCAAUUUGAAGUUUGAAGGGUUCGCGUGGUCCAAUUGAUGAUGAUUUUCUUGCACUCUAAUUUGUUAAUAACAGAACAUGAAAGAUCUGAAAAGCCAUGAACUUGAAGGCAGAGAGGUUGCUUCAUUACAGAAUUUGAAGUGGUUAUUUUGCCUUAGUAUUAGUACUAGAUUACUGUAUCACUUGGGUAUCAUUACCAAUAUAAUGUAUCUUCUCUUUUUCAAAAUAGAAACUUAUAGCCAAAAUGAUAGUCUCUUUCUCUAAGGCGUAUCUUCGCUGUUGGUAACUUAAUUUGGUGUUAAACAAAAGAAAUGAAGUAGUAGUAGUCCUUU
Abrus precatorius (Indian licorice) is the source of this 2816-nucleotide RNA transcript. It is a transcript of the gene named mitogen-activated protein kinase 15-like, with no coding region annotated. The record is from RefSeq and is a predicted model, not a curated record. The transcript is spliced from 10 exons. Lineage: Eukaryota; Viridiplantae; Streptophyta; Magnoliopsida; Fabales; Fabaceae.